RNAcentral lists this long non-coding RNA (218 nucleotides) under Anas platyrhynchos platyrhynchos (common mallard). RNAcentral describes it as "lncRNA (ENSAPLG00000024262.1)". Lineage: Eukaryota; Metazoa; Chordata; Aves; Anseriformes; Anatidae. The record is from RNAcentral.
AUGCAAUUAAGGUAUUAAAAUACACUACAAUAACAAAGUGGAUGGAGAAUGAUGCUGAAGCAGUUGCCAGGGAUGAAAAAUAUUAUUCUUCUGGAAGGCAGAGAUGCAUCUAUUGACUGCAUGUUAACACAGGAGCUUGUGAAGCCCUACAGCCAGUGACACUAAAAAUGACCUUCUACCACCCCAAGUAUUGAUUAAUAAACAGAUCCAGAGGGACA